CUGCCUGACUGAAAUAAUCUCACUUUUUCCCUCUUUUUUUUUUUCCCCACACGGACUCCUGGGCUUACUGAAAUCACUUUGCAGUGUCUACUUUUGAGACAGAGGAAACUGCUUUUCCGAUUUCAGAAUUGGUUGUGGAACAUGUUGAAACUACAGAAAUUCCUGUGGAAACAAUAACCACUGCUGUGGAAACCAUCGGCACUGCUUUGAUAAAUGUGGAUGGUGACUUAUUUCUUGUGCAAACUACUGCGUAAGUUUGGAUCAUCUGCAGUAGAGAACUAAAUAUUAGUUUCUUUGCAGGUGCCGGAAACAAGAUCGUUUGUCAGCCUGGAGAUGAAGAUUCAUCAACAUAUUUAUCUUCGUGUUCAUUUGUACAUUAUAUUUUUGUUAUACUGCUCUGCAGCAGAGAACCCUCUGUGAGUGGUGUAUACUUAAGGCUCUUUAUUACAGCAAGGGCAUCUUUAAAACACGGCAUAUAGGCAAAGCCAGGCAGGAGAAAAACAGCUAUUUAUGUUAAAAAUAGGACUUAAAUUAAAAAAAAAAAAUCUAGAAUGAAGUGAUUUUUAACAGAUUGGUGUCAGCCAUCUCUGUCUCCCAGUCUUUACUUUUCCUUGAUGUGCAAGUAUCUGAAAAUAAAACACGGGAAAUAAGCUUGGAACCUUUGAAC
RNAcentral lists this long non-coding RNA (667 nucleotides) under Salvator merianae (Argentine black and white tegu). Its description in RNAcentral is "lncRNA (ENSSMRG00000019669.1)". The record is from RNAcentral. Lineage: Eukaryota; Metazoa; Chordata; Lepidosauria; Squamata; Teiidae.